CCUUGAGAGGGCGACCGGCCACACUGGGAUGAGACACGGCCCAGACUCUUAAAAGAGGAAGCAGUGGGGAAUAUUGCGCAAUGGGCGAAACCUUGACGCAGCAACGCCGCGUGCGGGAUGAAGGCCUUCGGGUUGUAAACCGCUUUCAGCAGGGAAGAAGCGAAAGUGACGGUACCUGCAAAAGAAGCACCGGCUAACUACGUGCCAGCAGCCGCGGUAAUACGUAGGGUGCAAGCGUUGUCCGGAUUUAUUGGGCGUAAAGAGCUCGUAGGCGGUUAGUCACGUCGGAUGUGAAAACUCAGUGCUUAACACUGAGCCUGCAUUCGAUACGGGCUGACUAGAGUAUUGUAGGGGAGACUGGAAUUCCU
Molecule: ribosomal RNA, 368 nt
Filed under: uncultured bacterium
Lineage: Bacteria
Description: bacterial SSU rRNA
Rfam family: Bacterial small subunit ribosomal RNA
Source: RNAcentral